CCUACGGGCGUCAGCAGUGGGGAAUAUUGGACAAUGGGCGAAAGCCUGAUCCAGCCAUGCCGCGUGUGUGAAGAAGGCCUUCGGGUUGUAAAGCACUUUCAGUGGGGAAGAAAGCCUUGGGGCUAAUACCCUCGAGGAAGGACAUCACCCACAGAAGAAGCAACGGCUAACUCCGUGCCAGCAGCCGCGGUAAUACGGAGGGUGCGAGCGUUAAUCGGAAUUACUUGGCGUAAAGCGCGCGUAGGCGGUCUGAUAAGCCGGUUGUGAAAGCCCCGGGCUCAACCUGGGAACGGCAUCCGGAACUGUCAGGCUAGAGUGCAGGAGAGGAAGGUAGAAUUCCCGGUGUAGCGGUGAAAUGCGUAGAGAUCGGGAGGAAUACCAGUGGCGAAGGCGGCCUUCUGGACUGACACUGACGCUGAGGUGCGAAAGCGUGGGUAGCAAACAGGAUUAGAUACCCGAGUAGUC
Molecule: ribosomal RNA, 465 nt
Filed under: Vreelandella stevensii
Lineage: Bacteria; Pseudomonadati; Pseudomonadota; Gammaproteobacteria; Oceanospirillales; Halomonadaceae
Description: partial 16S ribosomal RNA
Rfam family: Bacterial small subunit ribosomal RNA
Source: RNAcentral